Molecule: long non-coding RNA, 419 nt
Organism: Olea europaea var. sylvestris
Lineage: Eukaryota; Viridiplantae; Streptophyta; Magnoliopsida; Lamiales; Oleaceae
Exons: 2
Source: RefSeq, a predicted model, not a curated record
AUGAAUCUUUCAAAAAUCAAGAAUAAAGUAUUUGAUCUGUACAAAGUUAGAUUGUGCCCCACUGACUCAAAAUGUCCGCUUCUGCCAUUGCCUAAGGUCCAACAAAUUAAAUCUUCUACAAUUAUUCCGUCUUUAUCCAUUCAACUGCAUCACUAAUUUUAGAUUGUGAUUCUACUGCUGCAGGUUUAUUUUCAUGCUAUUCCAGAUGACAUCAUUGAUAGUCUGGUAAACUUCCUAUAGACCAAAGUUGGAAAUAGUUGUCAUCUCCAUCCAUAUCCCUCGUUUAAUUGUAUGAGAUAUGCAUAGCUUGAGGAGGGAAUAAUACUCAAUGUUGCUGGGGGUUUGAUGCUAGAACAUCCACUGACUUUACCCUUGGUAGACACAGUGAUUGGAACCUGCGAUUGUGUAAUGGGACUUUC